This 678-nucleotide long non-coding RNA is filed under the name Struthio camelus australis. Its description in RNAcentral is "lncRNA (ENSSCUG00000015857.1)". The record is from RNAcentral. Lineage: Eukaryota; Metazoa; Chordata; Aves; Struthioniformes; Struthionidae.
ACUUCAAACACGUGCAACUGGCCGCCUUCCUCCAGAACUGCGAGGGAAACUACUGAGGGAACUACUGAGGGAACACGUUCUCCUUUUUCACUAGUACUCUCAUCCAAAGUCCAGCAGUUCCCUGGCUCCUGCACAUGCAAACGUUUGAAUUUCCUGUUGGCCCAGAGUGUUUGCAUUGCAAGUGACAUCUGGCUGACAGGAACUUGGAGAAAUGGGAUGCGAAGUGAAUGCUGCAGUUACCACAGCAUUAUAUUUAUCAAAAGGUUUAAGAUCAUGGUGAAUCUGCACUUGCCUUCCAGUGGAAGUCAGCAUUGUAAAAUAGUCACACACAGACAUCAUGUCGGGCUGAAAUUCUAAGGAGACACUCCCUAUGAUUCAUGGGAGAGGAAGAAGAAAUAAAAGUUAUUCCACUACUGCAUGGAGAGAGUCCUAACUGCAGUUGUGCAGCACUGCUGAUAACAGGCCAAAACAGCAUCCUGUCAGACUCGUCAAAACUUCAGACGGAUUCACUGCAUUGUCUGGACACUGGAGAUCCAGUUCAGGAUUUUUAUAUAGAAGAUAGUACAGGAGGCAGAGAAUCUACAGCACAGGUAAGUCACUCAGCUGAUGAUAUUUACAAAUUUUGACAAAAAGUAUUGCAUUUAAUGUGCAAUAAACAAUUUGCAGUUCAAGAAAGCA